Molecule: long non-coding RNA, 316 nt
Organism: Oncorhynchus tshawytscha (Chinook salmon)
Lineage: Eukaryota; Metazoa; Chordata; Actinopteri; Salmoniformes; Salmonidae
Source: Ensembl
CCUCAAUACAGCAGGUAUAGAUCUACCAGCGCUGAGUCCCUCAAUACAGCAGGUGUAGAUCUACCAGCACUGAGUCCCUCAAUACAGCAGGUGUAGAUCUACCAGCACUGAGUCCCUCAAUACAGCAGGUAUAGAUCUACCAGCGCUGAGUCCCUCAAUACAGCAGGUAUAGAUCUACCAGCGCUGAGUCCCUCAAUACAGCAGGUAUAGAUCUACCAGCGCUGAGUCCCUCAAUACAGCAGGUAUAGAUCUACCAGCGCUGAGUCCCUCAAUACAGCAGGUAUAGAUCUACCAGAGCUGAGUCCCUCAAUACAGC